GAUGAACGCUGGCGGCGUGCCUAAUACAUGCAAGUCGAGCGAACGGACGAGAAGCUUGCUUCUCGGAUGUUAGCGGCGGACGGGUGAGUAACACGUGUAUAACCUACCUAUAAGACUGGGAUAACUUCGGGAAACCGGAGCUAAUACCGGAUAAUAUUUUGAACCGCAGGGUUCAAAAGUGAAAGACGGUCUUGCUGUCACUUAUAGAUGGUUCCGCGCUGCAUGAGCUAGUUGGUAAGGUAACGGCUUACCAAGGCAACGAUGCAUAGCCGACCGGAGAGGGUGAUCGGCCACACUGGAGCUGGGACACGGUCCAGACUCCUAAGGGAGGCCGCAGUCGGGAAUGUUCCGCAAUGGGGGAAAGCGUGACGGAACAACGCCGCGUGAGUGAUGAAGGUGUUCGGAUCGUAAAACUCUGUUAUUAGGGAAGAACAUAUGUGUAAGUAACUGUGCACAUCUUGACGGUAACUAAUCAGAAAGCAACGGCUAACUACGUG
This 497-nucleotide ribosomal RNA is filed under the name uncultured bacterium. RNAcentral's name for it is "partial 16S ribosomal RNA". It matches the Rfam family "Bacterial small subunit ribosomal RNA", at positions 28 to 507 of the family's 1533-position model. The record is from RNAcentral.